Molecule: non-coding RNA, 2323 nt
Filed under: Pongo abelii (Sumatran orangutan)
Lineage: Eukaryota; Metazoa; Chordata; Mammalia; Primates; Hominidae
Source: RNAcentral
ACCUCGGGGGUUUCCUGCUUUAUGGCGAAGGGCCAGGGCCCCACACACAUUCUGCCUGACAGCCAGCCAAGCUCUUCAGUCCCCCGCCCUCCACCUGCCAGGGAGGCUUGGGGCGUUAUACCUGCCACCACGGGACACAUAUACUCAUAGAAAUGAGUUAUUUAAAGAAGACGGUCCAGAUUCCACAGUCCAAAAAAAAAAAAAAAAAGAGGUUUGCCCUGCUUCUGAAGGAGUCAGGAUACGAAUGCAGAGGUCUUCCUGUUGGCUCACGUAUCAGACCUUCAACGUCAACAUUAAAUGUGAGUGAUGCUCUCCACUCUGUGAAUGUGGCUUUGGGUAUGGCUAAUCCACACCCUGCACUCUGGCCUUCAGAAGCCCAGGGAGAGAAGCCUCCCAGAAGCAACCUUCCAGAACCUUCUCCAUACUCCCACCGACCUCCCCAGCCCCUGUCUUCUCUUUGAAUCUCGUUGUCAAGUUCUUUCCUGGCUCCUUGAGGGGAGGUGCAGCUUUCAUCUGACCAUGCAGGCGUGCUUUGCAGUGGGUAGAGCAGUGCUUUCCUCCUCCCAGCUGCACACUGGAAUCACCUGGAGAGUCCAGAAACUUCCCGCCUCAGUGAAAGAACAUCAGUGUAUCAGCACAGCAAAGAUUCCAAAUGCCAGGCUGGAUUGCCUCCAAUUACCAGGACCUCCAGGCUUCUCCUCCUUUCAAGAACUUUCUGAUCCUGGAUCCAGUCUAAAUGUUGGUUAUAAACUCACCUGACAUCCACAGGGCCCUUCCAAAGUACUGUCAAGGCUGACUGCUGGUGCCUGGAACCUGCACACCCUCCUGGGACUCUGCAUCUCUGCUGGGGCUGGUUUCUCCUCUGAGCCACCUUAAGGAAUCCCACCCUGACCCGGUCACAGCUCAGCAUGCCUCCCUCUACUACUUGCUCAGCAUUUUGUGUCUAUCUAGACUGAAGCCUUUGCUUUCUCUCUGUGAUUGUGGUGAAAGUUCAGUUUGCUUUCCUCUCUCUAGAAUGUCAGCACGAAGGCAGAGGCAUGGUCUCCUGAGUUCCAUAACCCCAAAGCCUAACUCCCUGCCUGCCACACUGAGGGGCUCAGUAGACAUUGACUUACUAAAUUGAAUAGUUGAGUAAUAAUGCUCUUUGAAAUAAUUUGGAGUUAGAUCUUGAGCCUUGUGCGGCCAGGGGAUGCAUGAGGGCACAUCAUAAAAACUGAAGGUAACUGAGCAUGCCAGCGGUUGGGGUGAGAAAUUUGCAUGGAGCACUCCAGACACAGAGGCAGCAAAACCCAAGUGCUGGGGAGUCAGAGUGAGAGAGUGAAGGGGCACUGAGUGCCUCUUUAGGAGCUGGAUCAAAACCUGAGAUGAUCUGGCCACAUGGUGCAGACUGAGCACGCACUUGGGAGAGAAAUGGGCCGGGAGGAGAGGAGAGAGGUUCACCACAGGACAGUGGAUGGCUGGGAAUAGAAGCCCUCCCCAUGGUGGAGUAUCAGUCUGUGAAGCUGAGAGCAAGACAAAAGAAAUCAUGACUUCUGUGGGUAGCUGGGAUGGAAACCUCAGGGGUGACAGGGUCUUUAAAGGAAAUCUCAAGGAGGGCAUCAUGUUCCGGGUGUGUUCCAGGGAUGCUGAGUAAGAAAAGACCACCUUUUCUGUAUGUGUCUUUACUCUGCCACAAGGCACCUGGGCUCCUAAAUGACCAACACACAUGUGCUAUACUGGUGCCAGGAAAGAAGGGUGUUUUGUAGGAAAGUCAAGGUGAGAGGAGGUGCCCAGGACUUGGCUCCUUUCUUUGAAGGGUGAUGGUGUAAAUUCUCCAUGCUGGGGAUACUACUGAUGGAUGGAGGCGUGUCGAUCUCAUCAUUUCACAGAGUGGGGAGCUAUGGCCACGACGUGCCUAUCACACAAGUCCAGCCUCACGUCAGCUGGACACCAGCUGUUCUGACACUUGUCAGCACAUGGGGCACCCGGAAGUUCACGGUGUUCUGCAAAGAACGCCACAAAACAGUGAGCUCAACUUCUUGAAAAUCAUAAUGUGUAGCUAAGUCCAAUCCCAGAUCCUAAAAAUAAUAUGAGGUAUAGUGGCCAUUGAACAGAAAAAAUUUACAUCUUAAACUUGAAGAUAAGUACAAGUGUACCUUUUUCUACCACUGUUGUUCAGUUUUAUUACAUUGAUGAGCACCUCUGCCCACCCUAUGGGGUAACACUGUUUGAGAAUCACUGAUUUAUGAAAGUUAUAUAAAUAUUGGCUGAUCAAAUGUACAAAAUUUGCAUGAUGGCACCAUAUUGUGUAUAAUAGUGACAAAUACAGUUCAUGUGGGUGGAG